Molecule: ribosomal RNA, 1435 nt
Filed under: uncultured organism
Description: 16S ribosomal RNA
Rfam family: Bacterial small subunit ribosomal RNA
Source: RNAcentral
CUGUCGGCGUGCUUAACACAUGCAAGUCGAACGGAAAGGCCCUGCUUUUGUGGGGUGCUCGAGUGGCGAACGGGUGAGUAACACGUGAGUAACCUGCCCUUGACUUUGGGAUAACUUCAGGAAACUGGGGCUAAUACCGGAUAGGAGCUCCUGCUGCAUGGUGGGGGUUGGAAAGUUUCGGCGGUUGGGGAUGGACUCGCGGCUUAUCAGCUUGUUGGUGGGGUAGUGGCUUACCAAGGCUUUGACGGGUAGCCGGCCUGAGAGGGUGACCGGCCACAUUGGGACUGAGAUACGGCCCAGACUCCUACGGGAAGCAGCAGUGGGGAAUAUUGCACAAUGGGCGGAAGCCUGAUGCAGCAACGCCGCGUGCGGGAUGACGGCCUUCGGGUUGUAAACCGCUUUCGCCUGUGACGAAGCGUGAGUGACGGUAAUGGGUAAAGAAGCACCGGCUAACUACGUGCCAGCAGCCGCGGUGAUACGUAGGGUGCGAGCGUUGUCCGGAUUUAUUGGGCGUAAAGGGCUCGUAGGUGGUUGAUCGCGUCGGAAGCGUAAUCUUGGGGCUUAACCCUGAGCGUGCUUUCGAUACGGGUUGACUUGAGGAAGGUAGGGGAGAAUGGAAUUCCUGGUGGAGCGGUGGAAUGCGCAGAUAUCAGGAGGAACACCAGUGGCGAAGGCGGUUCUCUGGGCCUUUCCUGACGCUGAGGAGCGAAAGCGUGGGGAGCGAACAGGCUUAGAUACCCUGGUAGUCCACGCUGUAAACGGUGGGUACUAGGUGUGGGGUCCAUUCCACGGGUUCCGUGCCGUAGCUAACGCUUUAAGUACCCCGCCUGGGGAGUACGGCCGCAAGGCUAAAACUCAAAGGAAUUGACGGGGCCCCGCACAAGCGGCGGAGCAUGCGGAUUAAUUCGAUGCAACGCGUAGAACCUUACCUGGGUUUGACAUGGAUCGGGAGUGCUCAGAGAUGGGUGUGCCUCUUUUGGGUCGGUUCACAGGUGGUGCAUGGCUGUCGUCAGCUCGUGUCGUGAGAUGUUGGGUUAAGUCCCGCAACGAGCGCAACCCUUGUUCACUGUUGCCAGCACGUUAUGGUGGGGACUCAGUGGAGACCGCCGGGGUCAACUCGGAGGAAGGUGGGGAUGACGUCAAGUCAUCAUGCCCCUUAUGUCCAGGGCUUCACGCAUGCUACAAUGGCUGGUACAGAGAGUGGCGAGCCUGUGAGGGUGAGCGAAUCUCGGAAAGCCGGUCUCAGUUCGGAUUGGGGUCUGCAACUCGACCUCAUGAAGUCGGAGUCGCUAGUAAUCGCAGAUCAGCAACGCUGCGGUGAAUACGUUCCCGGGGCUUGUACACACCGCCCGUCAAGUCAUGAAAGUUGGUAACACCCGAAGCCGGUGGCCUAACCGUUGUGGGGGAGCCGUCGAAGGUGGGACUGGUGAUUAGG